GAGUUUGAUCAUGGCUCAGAACGUACGCUGGCGGCACGCCUAACACAUGCAAGUCGAACGAAGUAGCAAUACUUAGUGGCAGACGGGUGAGUAACAUGUAGGUAUCUGCCCUUUGGCCUGGAAUAACACGAGGAAACUUGUGCUAAUACCGGAUAAGUCUUUACGGAGAAAGCUUUAUGCACCAUUGGAUGAGCCUGCACUUGAUUAGUUUGUUGGUGGGGUAAUGGCCUACCAAGACUGUGAUCAAUAGCUGAUUUGAGAGGAUGAUCAGCCACAUUGGGACUGAGACACGGCCCAAACUCCUACGGGAGGCAGCAGUGGGGAAUCUUGCACAAUGGAGGAAACUCUGAUGCAGCGAUGCCGCGUGAGUGAAGAAGGCCCUUGGGUUGUAAAGCUCUUUCGUCGGGGAAGAAAAUGACUGUACCCGAAUAAGAAGGUCCGGCUAACUUCGUGCCAGCAGCCGCGGUAAUACGAAGGGACCUAGCGUAGUUCGGAAUUACUGGGCUUAAAGAGUUCGUAGGUGGUUGAAAAAGUUAGUGGUGAAAUCCCAGAGCUUAACUCUGGAACUGCCAUUAAAACUUUUCAGCUAGAGUAUGAUAGAGGAAAGCAGAAUUUCUAGUGUAGAGGUGAAAUUCGUAGAUAUUAGAAAGAAUACCAAUUGCGAAGGCAGCUUUCUGGAUCAUUACUGACACUGAGGAACGAAAGCAUGGGUAGCGAAGAGGAUUAGAUACCCUCGUAGUCCAUGCCGUAAACGAUGUGUGUUAGACGUUGGAAAUUUAUUUUCAGUGUCGCAGGGAAACCGAUAAACACACCGCCUGGGGAGUACGACCGCAAGGUUAAAACUCAAAUGAAUUGACGGGGACCCGCACAAGUAGUGGAGCAUGUGGUUUAAUUCGAAGAUACGCGCAGAACCUUACCAACACUUGACAUGUUCGUCGCGACUCUAAGAGAUUAGAGUUUUCGGUUCGGCCGGACGAAACACAGGUGCUGCAUGGCUGUCGUCAGCUCGUGUCGUGAGAUGUUGGGUUAAGUCCCGCAACGAGCGCAACCCUCACUUUUAGUUGCCAUCAUUAAGUUGGGCACUCUGAAAGAACUGCCAGUGAUAAGCUGGAGGAAGGUGGGGAUGACGUCAAGUCCUCAUGGCCCUUACGUGUUGGGCUACACACGUGCUACAAUGGUAUCUACAACAGGAAGCAAGACUGCGAAGUUAAGCAAAUCCCUAAAAGAUACCUCAGUUCGGAUUGCACUCUGCAACUCGAGUGCAUGAAGCUGGAAUUACUAGUAAUCGUGGAUCAGCGUGCCACGGUGAAUGCGUUCCCGGGUCUUGUACACACCGCCCGUCACACCAUGGGAGUUGGUUCUACCUUAAGGCAAGGUUUCAAACCCUUGACCACGGUAUAGUCAGCGACUGGGGUGAAGUCGUAACAAGGUAACC
Molecule: ribosomal RNA, 1435 nt
Filed under: uncultured marine bacterium
Lineage: Bacteria
Description: bacterial SSU rRNA
Rfam family: Bacterial small subunit ribosomal RNA
Source: RNAcentral